Molecule: ribosomal RNA, 253 nt
Filed under: uncultured bacterium
Lineage: Bacteria
Description: partial 16S ribosomal RNA
Rfam family: Bacterial small subunit ribosomal RNA
Source: RNAcentral
UACGAAGGGGGCUAGCGUUGCUCGGAAUCACUGGGCGUAAAGCGCACGUAGGCGGCUUCUUAAGUCAGGGGUGAAAUCCUGGAGCUCAACUCCAGAACUGCCUUUGAUACUGAGGAGCUCGAGUCCGGGAGAGGUGAGUGGAACUGCGAGUGUAGAGGUGAAAUUCGUAGAUAUUCGCAAGAACACCAGUGGCGAAGGCGGCUCACUGGCCCGGUACUGACGCUGAGGUGCGAAAGCGUGGGGAGCAAACAGG